Molecule: non-coding RNA, 525 nt
Organism: Coturnix japonica (Japanese quail)
Lineage: Eukaryota; Metazoa; Chordata; Aves; Galliformes; Phasianidae
Source: RefSeq, a predicted model, not a curated record
UUCUUUCACUGCUUCUUAUUGCAGAGAGGAGAAAAGCAAAAGAAAAAGGACCCAAAAGUUGUUUGUGACCAUCUCCAUUGAAGGAAAUACAGGAAAGCGAUGCUAAUGAGACUUCUGGGUUCAGGUGGCAACCAAAAGGAAGUUCCAGAUGGGGGAGGAGGAUAGAGAAGCAGGCUUUGGGGUUCUUUCUGGUUUGAAACAAGAGGAGACACUAAAAUUGGCACCAGCAGUGUAGGAGCUGGCUCAGCACAGUAAGUACAAACAUCCCGCCUUCCUCAAAUCCUGGUCAUAAGCUUCCUCAUGCAUCUUCCCUGGUCUGGCUGUUCAUAGUGUCUCCAAGUAACUUCUUAAACAAACUCCUCCUUAGAAAUAGGGAUAGAGAGUCUGUGUUUUCAAUUUCUGGCCAUAGAAUUUGGGGAAUCAGUUACCCUCUUGCUUCUCUUAGCAAGGCUUGCCUUCAGACUAGGGUCAAGAGAUCUAUCUUGAUAGAGCUACGGUAGACAUGGGUUAUCAGAAGAGCUCUCA